This 375-nucleotide ribosomal RNA is filed under the name uncultured organism. Its description in RNAcentral is "partial 16S ribosomal RNA". It matches the Rfam family "Bacterial small subunit ribosomal RNA", at positions 527 to 896 of the family's 1533-position model. The record is from RNAcentral.
GUAGGGUGCGAGCGUUGUCCGGAAUUAUUGGGCGUAAAGAGCUCGUAGGCGGUCUGUCGCGUCUGCUGUGAAAACCCGAGGCUCAACCUCGGGCCUGCAGUGGGUACGGGCAGACUAGAGUGCGGUAGGGGAGAAUGGAAUUCCUGGUGUAGCGGUGGAAUGCGCAGAUAUCAGGAGGAACACCGAUGGCGAAGGCAGUUCUCUGGGCCGUAACUGACGCUGAGGAGCGAAAGCGUGGGGGGAGCGAACAGGAUUAGAUACCCUGGUAGUCCACGCCGUAAACGUUGGGCGCUAGAUGUGGGGAUCAUUCCCACGGUUUCCGUGUCGCAGCUAACGCAUUAAGCGCCCCCGCCUGGGAGUACGGCCGCAAGGCUA